Long non-coding RNA from Hylaeus volcanicus, 370 nucleotides. RefSeq lists it as uncharacterized. The transcript has 3 exons. The record is from RefSeq and is a predicted model, not a curated record. NCBI's taxonomy places the organism in Eukaryota, Metazoa, Arthropoda, Insecta, Hymenoptera, Colletidae.
AAAGGAGAAGAUGGGACGUCGCAGCAUCAUUAUAAUUUCCCAAUUUCUUGUGAAAAAUGACCUUCAAGACAUUUCCAGAAUGACAAAUUUGAUGUGUGCCUGCUGUAUGAUGUGUGCUGGUAGAAACAUUUACCUGUACAUCCAUUAUCAGAAGAACCGCGCAUUCUUCUUUCAAGUUUAUCUGCUACCGAGUAUAUUCCCAAUUUGUGGCGAAGUAUCACGUUGUCAUCGCCAUAGUACUUCAAUCUGUAACAUAAACUCAUGGUUAGGAAACCAUAAACAAAGGAAUAAACGCAAUGAGGAAGAGGAGAAUGAAGAGAUUGCAGAACGGAGGACAUUGGAGAAUGGAGAGGGUGGGAACGAGUCGCAG